Molecule: long non-coding RNA, 1957 nt
Organism: Pseudopipra pipra
Lineage: Eukaryota; Metazoa; Chordata; Aves; Passeriformes; Pipridae
Exons: 3
Source: RefSeq, a predicted model, not a curated record
UGCCCUGCUGUCGGUUCUGCCGUGUGGGGGAGUGAGGCCUGGUGAGGCCUUGCCUUGUGGACCUUGAGAGGCAGAGGGUGCUGGCAUCAUUCAGUGUGAUUUCUGCCUGUUUCCCAGAGGGAGGGGUGAAGUCACCUGUGGUUGAGAAGGGAGAAAACCUGAUUUUAGCAAUGAGACCCCUCAUGUGCAGCUGAAAUGAGCAGAAAUACAAGCUUUUACUGUCUCUAAAACACUCAUUUAAUCCUCACACACACACACUCUAUUUCUGCUUUCUGAGAGAACACACUUCCUCAUGCUGAGUUUGUAUCAUCUUAUGAAGUGCCACAGCUACCUCUCACCCAGCUUCAGGUCCUCAUGAAUAUUAAAACAAAGGAGAUCAUGGGAAGGAAAGUGGAAUAUUUGAAAGGACAUUUGAGGAAAUCCUCUUAAGAAUUACUGAAAAUAUCUCAUAAUAAUAAGAAGAAAACCAGGUCACAUCCUUCCUGUUUCUUGUUCCUCAUUUCAAAUAAAAUAUUUAUUUUAAGUAGUUUAAUAAAGAAAACAGAAGCAAGAACCAAGAAAAGUCUUUAAUUUCUGAGAAAAUAUAGUUCCUUCAGCACUUGAGAGGAUUUUGUCUUAACACAAAGGAAGGAGCUGGGAUGAAGGACAGAAGGAGAGAAUCCGAAGAGAAAACGAGUUUGGAAGAUAGAUGAUUUUACUUGAAUUCUGACACAUAAGGGAUUUUGUUAACUUCACAGAGUGCAGGUAGAGACACUGAGGCAUGUCUUUAAUGAAGAAAAACAAAUAAACAAACAAAAAACCCAAAUAAAAACCCACAAAAAACAAACAUACAAAAAGAGUCAGAAAAAAAAAUAAAACCCCACAAAAACCAAACACAAAAAAACUAACCAACUAACCAAAAACAACAAAAAAAGAAAAAAUCCACAAAUACCAAAAAAACACCAAAUGACAUAAGCAGAGCCAUACUGCCCUGUACCUAUUACAGUAGUUUUAGCAGUAAUGUGUCCAGAGAGGGCUAUUUGCUGAAAUAUUUUGCCUCAUUUGAAACACCUGCAGGGAUGUGAAGCCAUUUAGUCCUGCUUUCAUUAUGUCAUUUUCCUCCCAUCUUUCCCACAGAGUAUUUGCUUUGUGUCAUCCACAGUUUUACCAAACCCUGAAUGUAGACUGGGCUCCACAGAGUCAUUGUGAGCCAGGGGACAGAUGACUGUGAUUUUGGGAUUAUCAUUAUUUUCCUUAUUGUUUAUAUGUAGAGGCAUCAACUGAAAUCAAAAUCUCUCAGUAAGAUCACAGGAGAUGGAAUUUUCCAGGAUACUAAUUAAACAAGACAGAGGUAGCAAAGUGGAGAAAGAGAUCACAUAAGAUCUCUCAGUGGUAGGUUGGGGGAAGAAGCCAGAAAAAAUUUACGUUUUCUGUAUUGCAGCUCAGUGUCAUCUCCACUACAAUUAAAUAACAAAGGAACCUUGAUUUCUUAAUGCUGCAGCUUUAACUUUUCAAUGAUGACCAAAGGGAACAUCUUAUGCAUCCUUUCACAAGAAGCUGCCCACGCACCACUUUGUAACUCAUUCUGGAGACAUGGAAUGGAUAGAAAACUUAUUUUCCCCCCAUCUUUCAGAUUUUUGAAAAUCACUUAUCUCCUGUAUAAAGAAAAAUUUUAUUUCCCAUCCUGCCCCUCAGAAUUCCUCCUCUCUCUUCCUACUCUUUUCCUGGUUAUCUGUAGUUCUUGUAAGAAAUGGAACCUGUAAGUUCAGAUUUGGCUAAAAAAUGCAGACACGGUAUUACUGUAACUACAGUUGUUCACAGACAGAGGUGAAAUCAUCUUCAGGUACAACAUUUUUAUAGUGUCUAGGAGAAUAUUUACUCCACAUUCAUCUGGCAACAUCUCCAGAAAUGCUGUGGCUAUUCAUUUUAUCAGUUUUACUCAAAAUAUCAGUAAUAUAGUAGUGCUUUAAAUAAUCAG